Long non-coding RNA from Dama dama (fallow deer), 5989 nucleotides. RefSeq lists it as uncharacterized. The record is from RefSeq and is a predicted model, not a curated record. The transcript is spliced from 5 exons. Lineage: Eukaryota; Metazoa; Chordata; Mammalia; Artiodactyla; Cervidae.
CUGUGCUGUGGAGUAAACUGUCUGCCACCCAGCCCUCACCCCUUCCCUGGACACUGUCGCACCCCUGGGUGCAGCUGCCAGCAUGGGGGUGUGGGGAGUGAAGGCACACCCAUGUGGAGUAGGAAAGAGCUCCAGGAUAAUAAUAGUAACCACCGCAGAGGCCUGUGGAGAGAGAUGAAAACUGCCUCCAACGCCCAGCCUGGGACCAGCACAUAGAAAGGCUGUUUACCUGCUCCGGGCAACGUGGCUCAGAACCAAGAGGAGUGAGCAAGCUGGAAUACAGGGCUGAACUGGAAAUGCCCACGGGCCCCUGACUCAGCGGAGCUGCCUGACCCCUUGAAGAAAGAAGAGCCUUCUAAGCAGCAAGCUCCAGACUCUGAGCUGAGUUUUGUAACAACAGAGAGACAGGACACAGCCACCCAAGAGGGUUGUAAGUAGAAAGGAACAACAAAGUCAGGAGAAAAUACACCCCCUCGAAUAGGACUCGUAUUUAGUUUGGCUGGGUCUCAGAAAAUUUCUUGGACGUUCUAAUAAUCUUAGCUAGGUUCACACAAGUUAAGUAUAAUAAUAGAUGUCCCUUUCAUCCUUUCUUCCAAAUGUUGUUAGAGAUACAUGUAUUAUCUGAGUGUGAGUAUAUACAGAGAAAGAUACAUAUGCCCACACACACAUACACACACAAAGACAGAGACAGAAAUAGUGAGAAAUUGGAAUAGAUUGAAACAGAGAUCCAUGGAGCCAUUCAGAACUUUGAAUGCUAGAAUUAUAGGUUUACUAAGUAGUCAAAAACAACGAAAUGAAUGGCACAGAAAAGUACCAAGCAAGAGUCACUCCUUUUGAUACAAAGGAGAAAUGUAGCCAUUAGUGUACAUUUGCAACUAAUAGUGUAGAUUGUCAUUACCCGGAAUAGAAGACCCAAAAGAACAGAAAUUCCUGUCUUCUUUGUUCCCUAACGAAUUCCACGUGUGUGGAGCAGAACCUGGUAGGGAGCAAGCACUCAGUAAACAUUUGUUGAAUGAAUCACUUUUCAACUUACAAUCAACCAGAGAUCAUAAAGAUACAUCGGUUCACAAUUCCACCCCAACUUGAAGGAAAAAACAGUCACUUGAGCUCUGGAAACUUCAAAGAGUGGAGGAACUAUUUCCAAAGCAGCUCCUAUGACAUUUCAGUUCAAUCCAGCAAACACGUGUUUGUGCUCAUUGAUGCCACACUGCGCCACCGGAGGUGCAGAAGAUGCUGCAAUGCUCAUGCUUGUCUUCACAGGGGACUCUCCGCGGAUCCAGCUGCUGAUUCCUACAUAUUUGGAGUAUGCGUGCUAAGUCUCUUCAAUCACGUCCGACUCUUUGUGACCCUAUGGACUGUAUGUAGCCCGCCAGACUCCUCUAUCCAUGGAAUUUUAUACUGGAGAAGAUCCUUCUCCAAGAGAUCUUCCCAACCCAGGGAUCAAACCAAAGUCUCUUACAUCUCCUGCAUCGACUGCUCAAGAGCUUUGAAGUUGACCAGAUGAUGAAUCCAGCCUGACUACUGGCUUAUAUGGACCAAGUUUCUUCCUUCUGCUGCCUGUGGCUCAAGUUUUCAUUACCCAUAUUAAGAAGUUUUUAGAAAAGCAGAAAUUUUGCAAGGUUGAUUUGUUCUUCAAAGAGCAGUGGGCUUAAAUUUGCUUACUUUCAUGCUUGCUGAAAUCCCAGUGUCCAGUAGAUUGUUAAUCACUUUCUGAAUACAUGAAACAGGCAAAAAAAAAAAAAACAAAAAACCCAGAUUUUAUGAUCUAUGUUGGUUAUCUAUUGUAUUGUGCCCCUGAAUACCAAAAGGGAAAAGACUUUGUAGUGGUGUUUUGUUACGCUUCUAGAGGAGGGGUCCAGUGGAGGGACGAUACAAUAGGAUCUAUUCUCCACUCAUAAAUCCCCACCCACCCAGGAGAGAAUAGAAUCCUAACAUUUGCAUUCUUUUAAGCCAGCCCUUGCCUAAAGUUCACCCCUUCCUGAAAUUCGACUCAACUGUUUAGCACAUGUCGACCCUGCAGUAAUGAAUUGGCACAAGCCUAAUUCUUAUGAUGAUUAAUGGAGCGCCUCGGAUGCAGCCUAUUAUUUCAUCCAAAGUUAAAACACUGAUUCAUCAUUAAUCACUAUAAGAAAUGGGCUCAGUGAUUCAUAAUUCUAAGCCAGCCCAUUUCCUCAAGGAUCCCGUUUGCCUUUUGUUAUUCCAGAAGUGGUAUAGUUCACUGCCUUGUGCUACCCACAUUCUGACGUGCACAUUUUCUGAUUAAUUCUCUUAAAAAAAAGUCACGUACUCCAAGUGUUUCACUUAUAACCCCAAAGCCUCUGAAAAAUCAUACUUCUUUCAGAUACCAAUCUUUUUCUGGAUCCAGCUGCCCUCGGAUUACCCAAGUUAAAACAAGUCAAUAAUUAGACUGAAUGAAUUAAUCACACACAAGUCAAUAAUCCUCACGGCUAUCUUUGGUCCUCAGCAAAGAGUCACAUUUGGGGCGGGGCAUUUGGAUUGAAACGCACUCCCCGUGGUUACUUCUUCAUUGCUACUGCUCACCUGCAACCAGAUAGAUGGUCGUCAGUGGCCAAGGAGGAGCAACAACACAAACCAGGCUUCCCCUGCUGGUCCUGGCCCAGAGUCACUGACAAGGACCGCAUCAUUGCUUCCUACAUGGAAACCUGCAUUGCAUCAUUUGCCAUCUUGGUAUUAUUUUCUUUAAACCUGCCCAUCUUGCAUAAGGACUUGAUGCUUUUCUGCUUUACACAAAUGAAAUGAAAACCUUUACUAUGCUAGAGCACCAUUGCUUGCCUUUCCUGGUGGUGCUCAGGCCAUGCACAAAAAAGCAACAGCUUCAAGGACUUCCCUGGCAGUCCAGUGGUUAAGACUUUGCCUUCCAAUGCAGUGCCAGUUUGAUCCCUGGUUGGGGAACUAAGAUCCCACAUGCUACAGAGGAUGGACAAAAUGUAAAUAAAUACAAUGUAAAUCGACUAAAAAAAAUUAAAACACAACAACUUCACUGCUGGCAUGACUGCAUACACAGUGCUUGGAGAGGCUUUAGUUCCAGAACCAACUCUUAGCUUUUCUGUUCUUUUCCUUCUUCUCCUCCUUCACCUACCUCCCUCCUAUUUCUCUCCCUCUACUCUUCUUUCUUUUCCCUCUCAAUUUCCCCUUUUCCCCAUUUUUCCUAAGAUAUUUCUCCUGAGGGACCUGCUUACCCCAGAUGACCACUUACCCUAGUAAUGGCAUUUGGGAAUUAAAGAGCUUGGGAGAGGCAUGGAGCUUGUCACUAUGAUCCAUGAUAUCCUCUGAAGAAGUUAUAAUGUAUAGCCAAGUCAAUUAGGCAAGAAUCUUAAAUAACAGGCAUCCAACUGGAAAGGUGGAAGGAAACCACCUCUAUUUGCAGAUGACACAACCUAAUGUAUAGAAUAUCCUAAGGAAUACACCAAACAACUAUUAGAACUAGUGAACAAGUUCAGUGAGGUUGUCGUAUGCAAGAAAAAUAUACAAAAGCUUAGUGUAUUUCUAUAUAGUGGUAAUGAGAAAAAUACAAAAGAAAUUAAGAAAACAGUUCUGUUUACAAUAGCAUCAACAAAAAUAUAAAUAAAUACUUAGAAAUAAAUUUAACAAAAUAGUGUAAAACUUAUACCCUGAAAUCUAGAAGUCAUUGUUGACAGGAGUUAAAGAAGAACUAAAUAAGAUUCCUGGUGGCUCAGACAGUAAAACAUCUGCCCACAAUGCGGGAGAUCUGGGAUCGAUCCCCGGGUCGGGAAGAUCCCCUGGAGAAGAAAAUGGAAACCCACUUCAGUACUCUUGCCUAGAAAAUUCCAUGGAUGGAGGAGUCUGGUGGGCUACAGUCCAUGGGGAAGAAGAACUAAAUGAAUGGGAAGGCAUCUCAUGUUCAUGGAUUGGAAGAGUUAAGGCUAUUGUUAAGCUGAUAAUACUCCCCAAAUUGAUCCAUAGAUGUGAUGCUAUCACUAUCAAAACCCCAAAUGGUUUCUUUACAGAAAUUGACAAGAAUGGGGUGAAAAAAUAGAACCCACAGAAUGUGAUAAAAUUUUUUGUAAAUAACAUAUUUGGUAAAGGAUAUGUAUUGAAAAAAAUACAUAAAGAAUUGUUACAACUCAUUAAUGAAAAGGCAACCCAUUUUUUUUAAAGAGGACAAAGGAGUCACAUAGACAUUUUUCCAAAGAAGAUAUACAAAUGAAUAAUAAGCUCAUGAAGAGAUGAUCCACAUCAGUAUCGGGGAAAUACAAAGAGGUACCACUUUACCCCACUAGGAAGAUGUGCUGGUGAAGUGUUGGUGAAGAUGUGUAGAAGUUGGAAACCUCAUACUUUACUGGGUGGAAAGGAAAAUGAUGCAACCACAUUGGAAGGCAAUCUGGCCAUUCCUCAAAUGUUUAAACCUAUGGGCACAUUACCAUAGGACCCAGCAAUUACAUCCCUUCAGUAUACAUUGAAGAGAAAGAUAAACACAUGUGCACACAAAUAUCUGUUCACAAAUGUUCAUAGAAGCAUCAUUCAUAAUAGCCAAAACAUAUAAACAACCUACAUGUUUAUCAACUGAUGAAUGGAUAAAUAAAAUGUGGCUUAUACAGGCAAAAAAUAUUAUUAUACACACACACACACACACACAGAUGAAGUACAGAUACAAGCUACAACAUGGAUUAACCUUGAAAACAUUACCCUAAGUUAAAGAACACACUCAAAAGGUCCACAUGUCUGUAUCAAAUGUUCACAAUUGGCAAAUCCAUAGAGUUUAGUUUGCUAGUUCACCAGGGCUGGAGGAGGGGGUAGCUUAUGGGAGUUUGGGAUUGAUGGCUAAGGAACACAAGGUUUCUCCUGGGAGUAAUGAAAAUGUUCUGAAAUUGAUUGUGGUAAUGGAUGUACAACUCUGUGAAUGCACUAAAACACCAUUGAUUAUACACUUAAAUGGGUGAAUUCUCUAUUAUAUGAACUAUAUCUCAAGCUGAUUUUGAAAAAAAAAAAGAAGAAGAAGAAAGAAACAAUUUAAAAGAAAUAAGUCAUAGCUUGAAAAUCAAAGUUUUAUGGAAAAGACAAAGCAAAUUCUCCAGAAUACCAAAAAUUUUAGGAUACUAAUUUUAAGUUCAGGUAUAAUUUCUAAUGUUGGGAUUUAUUCCCAAGUUUAGACCAGUCAUUUGCUUUACUUGUAUCAUUUUUGUUUAUGUCAUAAUAAUUAGUGAUUAAUAAGUUAAGUGAAAGUAGCUCAGUCGUGUCCAACUCUUUCCUACCCCGUGGACUAUAUAUAGUCCAGGGAAUUCUCCAGGCCAGAAUACUAGAGUAGGUAGGCUUUCCCUUCUCCAGGGGAUCUUCCCAACCCAGGGAUCAAACCCAGGUCUCCCGCAUUACAGGAGCUCUUUACCAACUGAGCUAUGAGGGAAGCCAAAAUAACAAUUAAUCAGAUUCAAUACUUCAACAGGUCACUGUGAGAGUCCUGCUCAUCAUCAGUGGUAGCCGUUGUCAUGGUCCUUAGGUUCUGCUGCUGCUGCUGCCAAGCCGCUUCAGUCGUGUCCGACCCUGUGCGACCCCAUAGACGGCAGCCUAUCAGGCUCCUCCGUCCAUGGGAUUUUCCAGGCAAGAGUACUGGAGUGGGUUGCCAUUUCCUUCUCCACCUUAGGUUCUUGCCCUGUCUAAUGAAAAUAUUCAAAAUUCUAUCCUUUCAGUUAAAUUCUGGAGCUGAGGAAACACUUUAGAAGAGACUCUUUGGUCAGGACUCAAAGAGAUUUGUGCUUUGUCAUCCAGGAAUCUGCAGCAGGAUUCAAUGAGAUUGAGAGUGAAAAGCGGGUGGAAGAGGGUGUCUCCAGUAUCUCAGGCUUACCCUUCCCAUUGCUCUGAGCAAAACGGGAGGCUUAUGAGUAAUUAAUAGCAUUCAAUCCACCAAACAUUGUGUUUUUGAAAAGACAGCAUGUAUUGUCUCUUUAAAAAAGUCCUUUAACUCAUGGUGACAGAGACUGCUACAUGCCCCUUAAUACCCACAUUUCUGUUC